AUCCAGCUGAAGAGUCCCAAAUAGGACGAAACGCGUGUCCUGGAU
This is a non-coding RNA of Schistosoma mattheei, 45 nucleotides long. Lineage: Eukaryota; Metazoa; Platyhelminthes; Trematoda; Strigeidida; Schistosomatidae. The record is from Rfam.